Lepidothrix coronata (blue-crowned manakin) is the source of this 1181-nucleotide long non-coding RNA. RefSeq lists it as uncharacterized. NCBI's taxonomy places the organism in Eukaryota, Metazoa, Chordata, Aves, Passeriformes, Pipridae. The transcript is spliced from 4 exons. The record is from RefSeq and is a predicted model, not a curated record.
UGGCAGGGCUUCUGAUUUAUUUGUCUCAGAAAAAAAUGGACUUUGAGCUUCCUAAACCAAUUCCGCAACUGAACCAACACGUGGCAAGUGGGGAAAACAGGAGAAUUCAUUUCUGAACUGCACUGCUGCUCUGAAGGGACAGAUUAAUGGAUGUGGUCCAUUAGUGUGAAAUACAGGGUUUUUUGGGAGGCUGGGAGAAUUCAGAAUAUAUUGAAAUUCCAUGUUAUGUUGUCAGCAGCUGCCAGUUCAAUGAAGCAACGUAUAUGGUGCAGGAACUGAAACCAUGGGGCAUAUUCCAGCUUUGGGAAGUGACAACAAAGAAUAUGCAAGAUGAAAGCAAUUCCUUGCUGUUAAAAUGCUCAUUCCUCUGGCAAGAAAUAGGAGAUGCUUGGUGGUUGAACAGGGUUAUGCUGUGACCUUGAGACAAACCUUUGGAAGCAGCCCAUCCCUCCAGCAACACGCUGUGUUCCAGCUCCUGCCUCGGAUCCUCUGCCUGGAUCUAAUGAGGAGAUGGACUGAAAUCAUGGAAAGCUGCAUCUCUUCUCUAGCUUUAGGUGGAGUUAUUCUAAUUUGCUACUGCUUCUGUAAGAAGAGAAUUUGAUCCACUCUGUUCUUCAGUGAAAUUCUUUGGAAUUGGCUGCUGAUUCAGAAGAGAGAACACAGGGGGCUCUGGAGAUCAGGGGAGACUUCUGAGGAUGGGAAGAAAAAAAGUAGUGCAAGGAGGAGGAUCAGAGGAACUACUGGCCUGUGACUCUCACCUCCCCCAGGACAAGAGUCCAGCUGAAAUGCAGGAAAUUCACUGAAACAUCAGGAAACCUUUUUUGCACAGAGAGAUUGUGGAGUUUCCAUCCUUGAUAUUGAACCUCUGAGUGGACAGUCCUUGACCCUCCUUUAAGCAGAGGCUUGAACAAGAUGCUUUCUAGAGAGGAAUGAGAUCUGAAAUGUGGCAUUUGCUGUAGCUAUUAGACUUGUUUAUUUAUGAGCUGUUACAUAGUUAUGAAGAGAUUGCUUUUUCCUGUCUGACUUUAGUAUGCAAGAUAGUUCCACGUAAUCAGCAUUUUCAAUAAAGUAACAAUUACUGGAUGAUAUAUGGUUGUCCAAGUAUGAGCCUUCUGCUUGUCUUCAGCUGAGAAUCAAAUUACUGCAACAGCUUUAUUGAACUUCAAAUGAGGCAGAAAUAA